UUUCAGAGGAGAGCGUGGAGUUUUUUGAGCGUAUGAAUGCCAUCCUGCAGAAACAGGAGAACAUGAUGCGGGCGGCCCAGGCGGAGUGCCAAAGAGGGGCCUGCACAGUUCCACCACCCCAAGAGCAUGUGGACCAGGCCUUUAUCCCCGACAGAAUCAGCAGGACAGAGCUGGACCUGCUUUAUGAGGAAGCUGUGUACACGGUGGUCAACAGGGUUGGAGUG
This is a non-coding RNA of Neolamprologus brichardi, 224 nucleotides long. Lineage: Eukaryota; Metazoa; Chordata; Actinopteri; Cichliformes; Cichlidae. The record is from RefSeq and is a predicted model, not a curated record.